Topomyia yanbarensis is the source of this 2089-nucleotide long non-coding RNA. RefSeq lists it as uncharacterized. The record is from RefSeq and is a predicted model, not a curated record. The transcript is spliced from 3 exons. Lineage: Eukaryota; Metazoa; Arthropoda; Insecta; Diptera; Culicidae.
GCGUGACACUUCCAAUAACUUAUAAAUUAUUAUACAAUUAUAAUGUUUUUGUAGAUUUAUAGACGAUUAUAAUUUUAUAGACAGCUUAUACUUAUACAAUUUUCGAACUUGUUUUCGAACUUAUUCUCAGUGUGCGGUGAAUUUGUGUGAGUUGUCACUUUUAUUGUUUACAUUGUUGAAAUCAAGACGUGCAUAACUAAAAUUUUAAAAUCGAACGCUUUUGUACUUGCGCCAUAAAAAAGAUAUCCGGAAACGAUCACAGAGGUCAAAUUGCUUAUGGGAUAGCAGAAUAUUGAACAAACCUCUCACGAGUUCUGGUGUUGAAUUUGAGCAAUAUUCCGGCCUGCCCGGCAGGAUCUGCACAACGAGCUAAUCAUAUUCCAGACAUCAAUGCCGGCAUGUUCCGGGUAGUGUAUUCAACGCCAGAGUAUGACCGGGGACGCGGGUAAUUAUAUGCUACAGCAAAUAUCCGAUCAACUGGUACUGAUUGUAAUCAACGAAGCUCACUGUGUGAGUAACUGACGGGGGACGAUUUUCGCCCGGCUUAAGGACAUCUCCGUGUAAUUCGUACGGAUUCGCAUUUUAGCAUUGAUGGCAACUGCAACUUCCAAUGUUCGUGAAGAUAUUGUGGCAAACCUUGGUUUGCGUAAUCUGCAAGUUUUGUGCACUAGGUUCGAUCGACCGAAUCGGAAGCUUUAUGUUAAAAUUAAGGGCUCCCUUGGUGUGUGGAAGGAUCUUUGAGGAUUGCUUAGCAAAAACACUGAAGGCAGCAUCAUAAUCUACUACUGACUCGGAAGGAAACGGAAGAGAUUGUGGAGCUGUUGAAGAGCAAACGAAUUGAUUGUGAGCCGUAUCAUGCGGGUCUUUUACUGAAGCAGAGGCUUUCUGUACACAAAAACUGUCCGAGGCCGCAUUCAGAUUAUUGUAGCUAUGACAGCUUUCGGAAUGGGAAUUGACAAACCGGAUGUUAGAUUGGUCAUUCACUAUGGUGCGGCGAAGGAUUUAGAAAGUUAUUAUCAGGAAGUCUGUAGAGCUGACCGGUAUGGACAACCAUCCAAGUGUAUUAUGUUUAAGAGUAGCGCUGAUUUCAAAACACAUGAGCUACUACGAGAUUAUAAUCAGGGUGUUGUUCAGAAGAAUUCAAAAGCUUUGUCGAAGAAGAUGCACGAAUAUUUGGACACAAGAGACUACAGACGGAGGUUUAUCCUAAAAUAUUUGAAGGAGACAAUGUGAAAGUCGCACCUCGCAAGCAUUGCUGUGACAACUGUGAUCGGACGGUUAGUGGAAUAAGGGAAAGUGAGCGAUAUGAAGGGAUCGACGAGAACGACAAUUUUGAUUUUAGGCACGGAACAUUUGUUGAAUGUAAUCGAAGCCUUCGGUGGUAAUUUAAGUAUUGCGCUACCGUAAAGUAAAGAACCUAAUUGUUGACAUGGUCGUUCACCAAUAUAAAUGUAAAAAAAUCUUAAUCCUCAAAAACUAGGAACCUGGAACAUACCUGAUUAUGUACACCGCAGAAGAACUACUUAUUGAGCAACAGGUGCUAUGAUUUGUUAAACGAACAUCUCGAGAUUCACGGAAGACAUUCUUUUCCAUGUAACUCCACCCGGAAGGCGAGCAUCUGUCAGCUUCGAUUGGCAAAGGUUCCUGUGAAAUUUUUUAAUGUUGAGUGCAAAUAAGUCGGUAUGAUGGCAGAGCACUCGGGUGCCAGAUAGCAACAUUUCCAGAUACAGUACAGACUGGUUUGCUAACGUGUGAGAUGUCCAACCUCAACCAGUAUGCGAAGAACAAAAGGAUAUUCAUAUUUUGUCAGCAACUGCAAAAGAGUCUUGCUUACGCUAAUAAAUCUGAAGCUCUCCGACCAAAACAUAGUGAAGAUUUCAACGGACAACAGUAUAACUUCUUUAAAAAAUCACUGUGUUGUGCCUAUGAAUCCAAAAUAUGCUGCGGUUUAGCGGAUAUGUUGGUGUACACAGGAUUAAGACUUAGUGGAUUGAAUAGUGUUUUAAAGGAGUCGAAAUAGGCUGUUUCAUUUAUUUUAUUUAAAAAUUUUCAAAUUUGUUAAACGACAAAUAUACACUCCCCAAAUGUC